CCUACGGGUGGCAGCAGUAAGGAAUAUUGGUCAAUGGAGGAAACUCUGAACCAGCCAUCCCGCGUGAAGGAUGAAGGGGCUCUGCCUUGUAAACUUCUUUUGUCUGGGGCGAAAAAGCUCGAUUUAUCGAGAACUGACGGUACCAGAAGAAUAAGCACCGGCUAACUCCGCGCCAGCAGCCGCGGUAAUACGGAGGGUGCAGGCGUUACUGGGAAUCACGGGUGCGUAGGCGGGUGAGUAAGUCAGAGGUGAAAGGCUGUGGCUUAACCAUGGAAUUGCCAUUGAUACUGCAGAGCUUGAGUGAGGUUGAGGUUGGCGGAAUGUGACAUGUAGCGGUGAAAUGCUUAGAUAUGUGAUGGAACACCGAUUGCGAAGGCAGCUGACUGGACCUAUAUUGACGCUGAGGCACGAAAGCGUGGGGAGCGAACAGGAUUAGAUACCCCAGUAGUC
This 450-nucleotide ribosomal RNA is filed under the name uncultured bacterium. RNAcentral describes it as "partial 16S ribosomal RNA". It matches the Rfam family "Bacterial small subunit ribosomal RNA", at positions 338 to 795 of the family's 1533-position model. The record is from RNAcentral.